AGGCGCGUAGCUCAGCGGGAGAGCGCUACCCUGACACGGUAGAGGUCGGCGGUUCGACACCGCCCGCGCCUACCA
RNAcentral lists this transfer RNA (75 nucleotides) under Geobacteraceae bacterium GWC2_53_11. RNAcentral's name for it is "tRNA-Val". It matches the Rfam family "tRNA". From Rfam's summary of the family: Transfer RNA (tRNA) molecules are approximately 80 nucleotides in length. Their secondary structure includes four short double-helical elements and three loops (D, anti-codon, and T loops). Lineage: Bacteria; Pseudomonadati; Thermodesulfobacteriota; Desulfuromonadia; Geobacterales; Geobacteraceae. The record is from RNAcentral. RNAcentral also lists the same sequence under 7 other names.